This 339-nucleotide unclassified non-coding RNA is filed under the name uncultured fungus. RNAcentral's name for it is "partial contains 5.8S ribosomal RNA and internal transcribed spacer 2". The stretch from base 1 to 133 matches the Rfam family "5.8S ribosomal RNA", at positions 22 to 154 of the family's 154-position model. Lineage: Eukaryota; Fungi. The record is from RNAcentral.
UGGUUCUGGCAUCGAUGAAGAACGCAGCGAAAUGCGAUAAGUAAUGUGAAUUGCAGAAUUCAGUGAAUCAUCGAAUCUUUGAACGCACAUUGCGCCCAUUAGUAUUCUAGUGGGCAUGCCUGUUCGAGCGUCAUUACAACCCUUAAGCUUAGCUUAGUGUUGGGAAUCUACGGAACGGUGCUACUUGUAGCUAUCGUGUAGUUCCUGAAAUUGAACGGCGGAGUUAUAGUAUCCUCUGAGCGUAGUAAAUUAUUCUCGCUUUUGUUGGUGCUAUAUCCCCUGCCGUUAAACCCCCAACUUUUAAUGUUUGACCUCGGAUCAGGUAGGAAUACCCGCUGA